UACGUAGGCAGCGAGCGUUGUUCGGAAUUACUGGGCGUAAAGAGUGUGUAGGCGGUGCUCUAAGUCUGUUGUGAAAUCUCCCGGCUUAACUGGGAGGGUGCGGCGGAAACUGGAGUGCUCGAGGGUGGGAGAGGUAAGCGGAAUUCCUGGUGUAGCGGUGAAAUGCGUAGAUAUCAGGAGGAACACCUGUGGUGUAGACAGCUUACUGGACCACUUCUGACGCUGAGACACGAAAGCGUGGGUAGCAAACAGG
RNAcentral lists this ribosomal RNA (253 nucleotides) under uncultured bacterium. RNAcentral describes it as "partial 16S ribosomal RNA". It matches the Rfam family "Bacterial small subunit ribosomal RNA", at positions 524 to 776 of the family's 1533-position model. The record is from RNAcentral.